AUUGAACGCUGGCGGAAUGCUUUACACAUGCAAGUCGAACGGUAACGCGGGGCAACCUGGCGACGAGUGGCGAACGGGUGAGUAAUGCAUCGGAACGUGCCCAGUAGUGGGGGAUAGCCCGGCGAAAGCCGGAUUAAUACCGCAUACGACCUAAGGGUGAAAGCGGGGGAUCGUAAGGCAUCGCGCUAUUGGAGCGGCCGAUGUCAGAUUAGGUUGUUGGUGGGGUAAAAGCCUACCAAGCCGACGAUCUGUAGCUGGUCUGAGGGGACGACCAGCCACACUGGGACUGAGACACGGCCCAGACUCCUACGGGAGGCAGCAGUGGGGAAUUUUGGACAAUGGGGGCAACCCUGAUCCAGCCAUGCCGCGUGCGGGAAGAAGGCCUUCGGGUUGUAAACCGCUUUUGUCAGGGAAGAAACGCGCUGAGCUAAUAUCUCGGCGUAAUGACGGUACCUGAAGAAUAAGCACCGGCUAACUACGUGCCAGCAGCCGCCGUAA
RNAcentral lists this ribosomal RNA (498 nucleotides) under uncultured bacterium. RNAcentral describes it as "partial 16S ribosomal RNA". It matches the Rfam family "Bacterial small subunit ribosomal RNA", at positions 29 to 523 of the family's 1533-position model. The record is from RNAcentral.